This 735-nucleotide ribosomal RNA is filed under the name uncultured bacterium. RNAcentral's name for it is "bacterial SSU rRNA". It matches the Rfam family "Bacterial small subunit ribosomal RNA", at positions 28 to 776 of the family's 1533-position model. The record is from RNAcentral.
GACGAACGCUGGCGCCUUUCCUGACACAUGCAAGUCGAACGAGCGAGAGAGAGCUUGCUUUCUUGAGCGAGUGGCGAACGGGUGAGUAACGCGUGAGGAACCUGCCUCAAAGAGGGGGACAACAGUUGGAAACGACUGCUAAUACCGCAUAAGCCCACGACCCGGCAUCGGGUUGAGGGAAAAGGAGCAAUCCGCUUUGAGAUGGCCUCGCGUCCGAUUAGCUAGUUGGUGAGGUAACGGCCCACCAAGGCAACGAUCGGUAGCCGGACUGAGAGGUUGAACGGCCACAUUGGGACUGAGACACGGCCCAGACUCCUACGGGAGGCAGCAGUGGGGAAUAUUGCACAAUGGGGGAAACCCUGAUGCAGCGACGCCGCGUGGAGGAAGAAGGUCUUCGGAUUGUAAACUCCUGUUGUUGAGGAAGAUAAUGACGGUACUCAACAAGGAAGUGACGGCUAACUACGUGCCAGCAGCCGUGGUAAAACGUAGGUCACAAGCGUUGUCCGGAAUUACUGGGUGUAAAGGGAGCGCAGGCGGGAAGACAAGUUGGAAGUGAAAUCUAUGGGCUCAACCCAUAAACUGCUUUCAAAACUGUUUUUCUUGAGUAGUGCAGAGGUAGGCGGAAUUCCCGGUGUAGCGGUGGAAUGCGUAGAUAUCGGGAGGAACACCAGUGGCGAAGGCGGCCUACUGGGCACCAACUGACGCUGAGGCUCGAAAGUGUGNGUAGCAAACAGG